UGCUGUGGCAGUGGCCUUUUUGGCUGCGCUUGGCGUGUGUGCUGUGUGUGCUUGCUGGUGCCCUGUGUUGCGGUGGGACGUCAAGGUCAGUUCGUAUGCCGCGGGAAAUGGCUGCCGAGGAGGUAGGGCUUACGCUCCGCGUUUGUCUGUUAUAUCUCGGUGGACGAGUAGUCGCGGUUGGGACUGAGGUGCCUACAACGUGCUUUUGAGUGAGGAUGGGUCUCCGUGUGCGCCGUGUGCGGAUAGCUUGCUAUGCGUGUGUGGUUGUGCGUGGAUUGAUGCGUGCUUUAACUUGUCGCCGUUCGGGACGUUGACGAAAUGGAGCGAUCCGACCCGUCUUGAAACACGGACCAAGGAGUCUAACAUGUGUGCAAGUGUUAGGGUGUGGAAACCCCAGCGCGAAAUGAAAGUGAAGGGCAGCGCAAGCUGUCUGAGGUAGGAAACGUUGCGGGCCUCGGUCUGCGGCGUGGCACUAUCGACCGAUCAUGAGCCUUCGUGGCGAAAGAUUUGAGUUUGAGCACAUAUGUUGGUACCCGAAAGAUGGUGAACUAUG
This 553-nucleotide ribosomal RNA is filed under the name Phytophthora sp. RNAcentral describes it as "partial large subunit ribosomal RNA". It matches the Rfam family "Eukaryotic large subunit ribosomal RNA", at positions 441 to 835 of the family's 3401-position model. Lineage: Eukaryota; Oomycota; Peronosporomycetes; Peronosporales; Peronosporaceae. The record is from RNAcentral.